UACAGGGGGGGCAAGCGUUGUUCGGAAUUACUGGGCGUAAAGGGUCUGUAGGUGGCCAACUAAGUCAGACGUGAAAUCCCUCAGCUUAACUGGGGAACUGCGUCUGAUACUGGAUGGCUUGAGUGUGGGAGAGGAAUGCGGAAUUCCAGGUGUAGCGGUGAAAUGCGUAGAUAUCUGGAGGAACACUGGUGGCGAAGGCGGCAUUCUGGACCAUAACUGACACUGAGAGACGAAAGCCAGGGGAGCAAACGGG
This 253-nucleotide ribosomal RNA is filed under the name uncultured bacterium. RNAcentral describes it as "partial 16S ribosomal RNA". It matches the Rfam family "Bacterial small subunit ribosomal RNA", at positions 524 to 776 of the family's 1533-position model. The record is from RNAcentral.